CCCGAGUUGGAGGAGGCCGCCCGCCUCGACGGCUGCAACCCGUUCCAGGUGUUCUGGCGGGUGAUGCUCCCGCUCACCCGGCCC
This 84-nucleotide transfer RNA is filed under the name Actinokineospora fastidiosa. RNAcentral's name for it is "tRNA-Cys". RNAcentral also lists the same sequence under 1 other name. Lineage: Bacteria; Bacillati; Actinomycetota; Actinomycetes; Pseudonocardiales; Pseudonocardiaceae. The record is from RNAcentral.